RNAcentral lists this ribosomal RNA (253 nucleotides) under uncultured bacterium. RNAcentral's name for it is "partial 16S ribosomal RNA". It matches the Rfam family "Bacterial small subunit ribosomal RNA", at positions 524 to 776 of the family's 1533-position model. The record is from RNAcentral.
UACGGAGGGUGCAAGCGUUAUCCGGAUUUAUUGGGUUUAAAGGGUCCGUAGGCGGACUAUUAAGUCAGUGGUGAAAGCCCUCUGCUCAACAGAGGAACUGCCAUUGAUACUGAUAGUCUUGAGUACAAGUGAGGUUGGCGGAAUGUGUGGUGUAGCGGUGAAAUGCUUAGAUAUUACAUGGAAUACCAAUUGCGAAGGCAGGUUACUACUAAUGGAUUGACGCUGAUGGACGAAAGCGUGGGGAGCGAACAGG